Molecule: ribosomal RNA, 444 nt
Filed under: uncultured bacterium
Lineage: Bacteria
Description: partial 16S ribosomal RNA
Rfam family: Bacterial small subunit ribosomal RNA
Source: RNAcentral
CCUACGGGUGGCAGCAGUGGGGAAUAUUGGGCAAUGGAGGAAACUCUGACCCAGCAAUGCCGCGUGAAUGAAGAAGGUCUUCGGAUUGUAAAGUUCUUUAGUCAGGGAAGAAUAAAAUGACGGUACCUGAAGAAUAAGCUCCGGCUAACUACGUGCCAGCAGCCGCGGUAAUACGUAGGGAGCAAGCGUUGUACGGAAUGACUGGGCGUAAAGGGUGCGUAGGCGGUUAUAAAAGUUAGAAGUGAAAUACCCAGGGCUUAACUCGGGUGCUGCUUCUAAAACUGUAAGACUUGAGUGCAGGAGGGGCAACCGGAAGUCCUAGUGUAGCGGUGGAAUGCGUAGAUAUUAGGAGGAACACCAGUGGCGAAGGCGGGUUGCUAGACUGUAACUGACACUGAGGCACGAAAGCGUGGGGAGCAAACAGGAUUAGAUACCCCUGUAGUC